RNAcentral lists this ribosomal RNA (1344 nucleotides) under Armatimonadota bacterium. RNAcentral's name for it is "partial 16S ribosomal RNA". It matches the Rfam family "Bacterial small subunit ribosomal RNA", at positions 408 to 1533 of the family's 1533-position model. Lineage: Bacteria; Bacillati; Armatimonadota. The record is from RNAcentral.
AUUCAAUUUCUGCGGUUGUAAACCUCUGUCGGGCAGGCACGUAGCCUGCCAGAGGAAGCACCGACCAACUACGUGCCAGCAGUCGCGGUUCAGACGUAGGGUGCGAGCGUUGGCCAGUAUCACUGGGCGUAAAGGGCGCCUAGGCGGCCAGGCAAGUCGGGCGUGAAAUCCCCCAGCCCAACUGGGGAAGUGCGCUCGAUACUGCUUGGCUUGAGGGCAGUAGAGGAGAGUGGAAUUCCCGGUGUAGCGGUGAAAUGCGUUGAUAUCGGGAGGAACACCAAUGGCGAAGGCAGCUCUCUAGGCUGUUCCUGACGUUGAAGGCGCGAAAGCCAGGGGAGCGAACCGGUCUGGCCCCCGGGUAGUCCUGGCCCUAAACGAUGGACACUUGUCCUGGGGGAGCUAGUUGGCAAUUUAGUUCACUGGCUCAGAGCUAUCUGAGUGAUGAGCUAGUAAACUAAAUAGCUUCGAACUCUCCCGGGGCGGAGCUUACGCGUUAAGUGUCCCGCCUGUGGAGUACGGCCGCAAGGCUGAAAAUCAUGGGAAUUGGGGACGCCUGCACAAGCGGCUGAGCAUGUGGCUUAAUUGGACCCUGACCCAAGAACCUUACCAGGGCUGUCCGCAUGCCUGAGGUUUCGGCCCAGCCGUUGGAAACAACGGCCGGUCGCCGACCUCCAGCCGUAGCAAUGAAUAUUGUUUCGGUUUGCAAGCGGCGUGCGGACAAGGUGCUGAGUGGCUGUUGUCAGUCCGCGUCGUGAGAUGUCCGGUUCACUCCGGGAGCGGACGAAACCCCACACCCCCUGUUGCUCCAUUACCCGGGCAGAAAGCAAUUUAAGGUUGUGAAAAUCUAGUUUUCUCGGCCUCAAAAUCGCAACUGCCCGGGGAGUUGAGCACUCUGGGGGAACCGCCGCCCUGCCCUUGGGGCGGGGUUGGAGGAAGGAGGGGACGACAGCGAGUCCGUGCGGCCCGCAAGCCCUGGGCCGCACACAUGCUACAGUGGCCCGUACAAUCGGCGACCCCGCGAGGGGGAGGCAAUCCAAAAAGCGGGCCGUGGUUCGGAUUGCAGUCUGCAACUCGACUGCAUGAAGGUGGCCCAUUGUGGGCGUCGCUAGUAACUGCCGGUCAGCGAUACGGCGGUGAAUACGUUCCCAGGCGUCCUUCAUACCGCUAACCGCGUUCCGGCCGCGCGGGCCCGACCGAAGCCCUGUGUAGAUGUGCUAGAAGGAAAGGCGGGGAAACUCUUCUCUUUCAUCUUUUGCAUGCUGACGGGGUUAGGCGGGCCCAACCGGCUGGACGUUGGAGUAGCAAGGCAACCGUACCGGAAGGUGCGGUUGGACUUUCUUAAAA